UUAAGCGACUAAGCGUACACGGUGGAUGCCCUGGCAGUCAGAGGCGAUGAAGGACGUGCUAAUCUGCGAUAAGCGUCGGUAAGGUGAUAUGAACCGUUAUAACCGGCGAUUUCCGAAUGGGGAAACCCAGUGUGUUUCGACACACUAUCAUUAACUGAAUCCAUAGGUUAAUGAGGCGAACCGGGGAACUGAAACAUCUAAGUACCCCGAGGAAAAGAAAUCAACCGAGAUUCCCCCAGUAGCGGCGAGCGAACGGGGAGCAGCCCAGAGCCUGAAUCAGUGUGUGUGUUAGUGGAAGCGUCUGGAAAGGCGCGCGAUACAGGGUGACAGCCCCGUACACAAAAAUGCACAUGCUGUGAGCUCGAUGAGUAGGGCGGGACACGUGGUAUCCUGUCUGAAUAUGGGGGGACCAUCCUCCAAGGCUAAAUACUCCUGACUGACCGAUAGUGAACCAGUACCGUGAGGGAAAGGCGAAAAGAACCCCGGCGAGGGGAGUGAAAAAGAACCUGAAACCGUGUACGUACAAGCAGUGGGAGCCUCUUUAUGGGGUGACUGCGUACCUUUUGUAUAAUGGGUCAGCGACUUAUAUUCUGUAGCAAGGUUAACCGAAUAGGGGAGCCGAAGGGAAACCGAGUCUUAACUGGGCGUUAAGUUGCAGGGUAUAGACCCGAAACCCGGUGAUCUAGCCAUGGGCAGGUUGAAGGUUGGGUAACACUAACUGGAGGACCGAACCGACUAAUGUUGAAAAAUUAGCGGAUGACUUGUGGCUGGGGGUGAAAGGCCAAUCAAACCGGGAGAUAGCUGGUUCUCCCGAAAGCUAUUUAGGUAGCGCCUCGUGAAUUCAUCUCCGGGGGUAGAGCACUGUUUCGGCAAGGGGGUCAUCCCGACUUACCAACCCGAUGCAAACUGCGAAUACCGGAGAAUGUUAUCACGGGAGACACACGGCGGGUGCUAACGUCCGUCGUGAAGAGGGAAACAACCCAGACCGCCAGCUAAGGUCCCAAAGUCAUGGUUAAGUGGGAAACGAUGUGGGAAGGCCCAGACAGCCAGGAUGUUGGCUUAGAAGCAGCCAUCAUUUAAAGAAAGCGUAAUAGCUCACUGGUCGAGUCGGCCUGCGCGGAAGAUGUAACGGGGCUAAACCAUGCACCGAAGCUGCGGCAGCGACGCUUAUGCGUUGUUGGGUAGGGGAGCGUUCUGUAAGCCUGUGAAGGUGUGCUGUGAGGCAUGCUGGAGGUAUCAGAAGUGCGAAUGCUGACAUAAGUAACGAUAAAGCGGGUGAAAAGCCGCUCGCCGGAAGACCAAGGGUUCCUGUCCAACGUUAAUCGGGCAGGGUGAGUCGACCCCUAAGGCGAGGCCGAAAGGCGUAGUCGAUGGGAAACAGGUUAAUAUUCCUGUACUUGGUGUUACUGCGAAGGGGGGACGGAGAAGGCUAUGUUGGCCGGGCGACGGUUGUCCCGGUUUAAGCGUGUAGGCUGAUUUUCCAGGCAAAUCCGGAAAAUCAAGGCUGAGGCGUGAUGACGAGGCACUACGGUGCUGAAGCAACAAAUGCCCUGCUUCCAGGAAAAGCCUCUAAGCAUCAGGUAACAUCAAAUCGUACCCCAAACCGACACAGGUGGUCAGGUAGAGAAUACCAAGGCGCUUGAGAGAACUCGGGUGAAGGAACUAGGCAAAAUGGUGCCGUAACUUCGGGAGAAGGCACGCUGAUAUGUAGGUGAAGUCCCUCGCGGAUGGAGCUGAAAUCAGUCGAAGAUACCAGCUGGCUGCAACUGUUUAUUAAAAACACAGCACUGUGCAAACACGAAAGUGGACGUAUACGGUGUGACGCCUGCCCGGUGCCGGAAGGUUAAUUGAUGGGGUCAGCGCAAGCGAAGCUCUUGAUCGAAGCCCCGGUAAACGGCGGCCGUAACUAUAACGGUCCUAAGGUAGCGAAAUUCCUUGUCGGGUAAGUUCCGACCUGCACGAAUGGCGUAAUGAUGGCCAGGCUGUCUCCACCCGAGACUCAGUGAAAUUGAACUCGCUGUGAAGAUGCAGUGUACCCGCGGCAAGACGGAAAGACCCGUGAACCUUUACUAUAGCUUGACACUGAACAUUGAGCCUUGAUGUGUAGGAUAGGUGGGAGGCUUAGAAGUGUGGACGCCAGUCUGCAUGGAGCCGGCCUUGAAAUACCACCCUUUAAUGUUUGAUGUUCUAACGUGGACCCGUAAUCCGGGUUGCGGACAGUGUCUGGUGGGUAGUUUGACUGGGGCGGUCUCCUCCUAAAGAGUAACGGAGGAGCACGAAGGUUGGCUAAUCCUGGUCGGACAUCAGGAGGUUAGUGCAAUGGCAUAAGCCAGCUUGACUGCGAGCGUGACGGCGCGAGCAGGUGCGAAAGCAGGUCAUAGUGAUCCGGUGGUUCUGAAUGGAAGGGCCAUCGCUCAACGGAUAAAAGGUACUCCGGGGAUAACAGGCUGAUACCGCCCAAGAGUUCAUAUCGACGGCGGUGUUUGGCACCUCGAUGUCGGCUCAUCACAUCCUGGGGCUGAAGUAGGUCCCAAGGGUAUGGCUGUUCGCCAUUUAAAGUGGUACGCGAGCUGGGUUUAGAACGUCGUGAGACAGUUCGGUCCCUAUCUGCCGUGGGCGCUGGAGAACUGAGGGGGGCUGCUCCUAGUACGAGAGGACCGGAGUGGACGCAUCACUGGUGUUCGGGUUGUCAUGCCAAUGGCACUGCCCGGUAGCUAAAUGCGGAAGAGAUAAGUGCUGAAAGCAUCUAAGCACGAAACUUGCCCCGAGAUGAGUUCUCCCUGACUCCUUGAGAGUCCUGAAGGAACGUUGAAGACGACGACGUUGAUAGGCCGGGUGUGUAAGCGCAGCGAUGCGUUGAGCUAACCGGUACUAAUGAACCGUGAGGCUUAACCUU
Molecule: ribosomal RNA, 2896 nt
Filed under: Shigella dysenteriae
Lineage: Bacteria; Pseudomonadati; Pseudomonadota; Gammaproteobacteria; Enterobacterales; Enterobacteriaceae
Description: bacterial LSU rRNA
Rfam family: Bacterial large subunit ribosomal RNA
Source: RNAcentral